Molecule: ribosomal RNA, 18 nt
Filed under: Rubus caesius x Rubus idaeus
Lineage: Eukaryota; Viridiplantae; Streptophyta; Magnoliopsida; Rosales; Rosaceae
Description: partial 26S ribosomal RNA
Source: RNAcentral
CGACCCCAGUCAGGCGGG